AUCAAACCUGUGACGGAGAGAAGUACCCGGUGCAUUCCAAUCUUUAGAGAGUCCCGGAUGGUGGAAUCGGGAUGUGCGGAAACCGGCGAAUGGACUCCGGAGGGCGGCUUGAAAGGCGGUUUCGCCCAGUAGAUGCCGACGGGGCCCCACCCGUUAUCCAUCGGGCACGCAUGAUGGUGCGUGAAGCGAGUGGACGCGCAAGCGUCAAUUUGGGUGGUAUCGCAGAAGUGUUUUGAAACGCUUUUGUCCCAGAA
Molecule: non-coding RNA, 254 nt
Filed under: Intestinimonas butyriciproducens
Lineage: Bacteria; Bacillati; Bacillota; Clostridia; Eubacteriales
Description: T-box sequence
Rfam family: T-box leader
About the family: Uncharged tRNA acts as the effector for transcription antitermination of genes in the T-box leader family.
Source: RNAcentral